GCAGCAUAGAGAAGACUCUGCCCUCACGCCCCAUCCCGCACAGUUGAUGCUGCGGGGCGUGGGCAGAGGGUGUGGCCGCCAUGGCGCUGCUGGGCAAUCUGCGGCAGGCCCUGAAGGCAGGGUGGGAGUGGCCUUGUGAGCAGGCGGGGUGGGAGACAGGGUAGGGGCGGGGCAGGGGUGGGGCCAGUUUUUGGGCACUCGGUCUCUAAAAGGUUCGCCAUCACUGGAUUAGGUUAUCUGAUCUGGGCAUCAUUGCUGUGCAGGACUUCCUCCCAAAAGAAGAAGUUGGUUGAAGGUGUGAAGGUUGUAGCUGCCUCUCCCUCUCCCUGCAUCUAUUUCUUUGGAAGCAGUGCCUAGAAAGACGAUGGCGCCCACCUCCCGGCCGAGAAUCCCUCCGUUUGCCGGUUAUCUUUCUGGCCCAACCGGAGCUUCGGCGCCUUCCCCACAGGGCGAAGUUGGCGGACGUGGACCGAAGAAAGCGCCGCUGCCUAGGUAAAGCGGCUCGGGUUGUGCCUCUGGCAUUUGGCCACGCUUCGGAUCGACCCAGCGAGACCCCUUUGCGCGCAGAUUCAGCCGGAACCCUGGCCUGAACUUCAGGGUUGCCCUGAAGGGACUUGUUGAGUUACCUGCAAACUUUGGUCGCGCUGCUGAGGAUCCUAAAGUUUCGCCCCUCGGAGCACGCGCAGAGCGCGUCUUCAGCUUCCCCGAGAAACUGCUCGUCCCUGCACGCACAAUGAAUGGCUCCGGUUAUGUAAACACAAGAGCAAACGGGUUCGACUAAACUGAUGCGUUGCGAAGCCCAGCCGAGACAGUUUCUCCCAGGAUUUCUCCCUAUGGCUUGGGGCUUUAAGUGUAGCUGUAGCCCACGGCCCAGGACUAGAGGUCUUCCGCUGCCAAGACCCGGGGCCUGAAACUUACUGACUUAGAAGAAACCCACCAAGACUCGCGUAGUCUCGCUGCCUUCUAAGCCAAGGGGAGGGGGGACACUGAAAAAAGUGCUUUUCUCUCCAGGGGUAACUGUAAAGUCGUAGGUGAGAUUGCUUGAGCUGAUCGACCCCCCCCCCCCAAACAAACAUCUCGGAUAGGAAAAGAAGCAAGUUCCUUUUCGGCACUUGGCCGCGGGCCGGAAGUCCCAGGUAGUGGUUGGAAUGAGUUGCAGGACAGUGGUCUGGGGUCGCUGAUCACCUCGCAGUGAAACUCCCGCUGGAGUUUCACAACCGCGAGUCUAAUCAAACUGGAGCGAGCUCCUAGUGACUCCAAAUCUCCGCCGUCUUCCUGGACCGCUCAAACUCCGCUCCCCUGAAGGAAUCAUAGGCUGAUGAGCUGCCUUCGACAGAGACGUCCAGCCGCUGUGCCAGUCACCUUGACCCAUCGUCUUCGGUUUUUCUGGA
Crotalus tigris (Tiger rattlesnake) is the source of this 1391-nucleotide long non-coding RNA. RefSeq lists it as uncharacterized. Lineage: Eukaryota; Metazoa; Chordata; Lepidosauria; Squamata; Viperidae. The record is from RefSeq and is a predicted model, not a curated record. The transcript is spliced from 2 exons.